GGCCCAGAUUCCUACGGGAGGCAGCAGUAGGGAUCUUCCACAAUGGACGAAAGUCUGAUGGAGCAACGCCGCGUGAGUGAAGAAGGUUUUCGGAUCGUAAAACUCUGUUGUUGGAGAAGAAUGUAUCUGAUAGUAACUGAUCAGGUAGUGACGGUAUCCAACCAGAAAGCCACGGCUAACUACGUGCCAGCAGCCGCGGUAAUACGUAGGUGGCAAGCGUUGUCCGGAUUUAUUGGGCGUAAAGCGAGCGCAGGCGGUUUCUUAAGUCUGAUGUGAAAGCCUUCGGCUCAACCGAAGAAGUGCAUCGGAAACUGGGAAACUUGAGUGCAGAAGAGGACAGUGGAACUCCAUGUGUAGCGGUGAAAUGCGUAGAUAUAUGGAAGAACACCAGUGGCGAAGGCGGCUGUCUGGUCUGUAACUGACGCUGAGGCUCGAAAGCAUGGGUAGCAAACAGGAUUAGAUACCCUGGUAGUCCAUGCCGUAAACGAUGAGUGCUAGGUGUUGGAGGGUUUCCGCCCUUCAGUGCCGCAGCUAACGCAUUAAGCACUCCGCCUGGGGAGUACGACCGCAAGGUUGAAACUCAAAGGAAUUGACGGGGGCCCGCACAAGCGGUGGAGCAUGUGGUUUAAUUCGAAGCAACGCGAAGAACCUUACCAGGUCUUGACAUCCUUUGACCACUCUAGAGAUAGAGCUUUCCCUUCGGGGACAAAGUGACAGGUGGUGCAUGGUUGUCGUCAGCUCGUGUCGUGAGAUGUUGGGUUAAGUCCCGCAACGAGCGCAACCCUUAUUACUAGUUGCCAGCAUUUAGUUGGGCACUCUAGUGAGACUGCCGGUGACAAACCGGAGGAAGGUGGGGACGACGUCAAAUCAUCAUGCCCCUUAUGACCUGGGCUACACACGUGCUACAAUGGAUGGUACAACGAGUUGCGAGACCGCGAGGUUUAGCUAAUCUCUUAAAACCAUUCUCAGUUCGGAUUGUAGGCUGCAACUCGCCUACAUGAAGCCGGAAUCGCUAGUAAUCGCGGAUCAGCAUGCCGCGGUGAAUACGUUCCCGGGCCUUGUACACACCGCCCGUCACACCAUGAGAGUUUGUAACACCCAAAGCCGGUGAGGUAACCCUUCGGGGAGCCAGCCGUCUAAG
This 1141-nucleotide ribosomal RNA is filed under the name Latilactobacillus sakei. Its description in RNAcentral is "bacterial SSU rRNA". It matches the Rfam family "Bacterial small subunit ribosomal RNA", at positions 328 to 1461 of the family's 1533-position model. Lineage: Bacteria; Bacillati; Bacillota; Bacilli; Lactobacillales; Lactobacillaceae. The record is from RNAcentral.